Molecule: ribosomal RNA, 110 nt
Filed under: Riccia crinita
Lineage: Eukaryota; Viridiplantae; Streptophyta; Marchantiopsida; Marchantiales; Ricciaceae
Description: partial 26S large subunit ribosomal RNA
Rfam family: Eukaryotic large subunit ribosomal RNA
Source: RNAcentral
CUGACCUCAGAUCAGGCGAGACCACCCGCUGAGUUUAAGCAUAUCACUAAGCGGAGGAAAAGAAACUAACAAGGAUUCCCUUAGUAGCGGCGAGCGAACCGGGAAGAGCC